UACGUAGGGUGCGAGCGUUGUCCGGAAUUAUUGGGCGUAAAGAGCUCGUAGGCGGCUUGUCGCGUCGGAUGUGAAAGCCCGGGGCUUAACUCCGGGUCUGCAUUCGAUACGGGCAGGCUAGAGUUCGGUAGGGGAGAUCGGAAUUCCUGGUGUAGCGGUGAAAUGCGCAGAUAUCAGGAGGAACACCGGUGGCGAAGGCGGUGAUCUGGGCCGACACUGACGCUGUAGAGCGAAAGCGUGGGGAGCGAACAGG
RNAcentral lists this ribosomal RNA (253 nucleotides) under uncultured bacterium. RNAcentral describes it as "partial 16S ribosomal RNA". It matches the Rfam family "Bacterial small subunit ribosomal RNA", at positions 524 to 776 of the family's 1533-position model. The record is from RNAcentral.